This 468-nucleotide ribosomal RNA is filed under the name uncultured bacterium. Its description in RNAcentral is "partial 16S ribosomal RNA". It matches the Rfam family "Bacterial small subunit ribosomal RNA", at positions 28 to 507 of the family's 1533-position model. The record is from RNAcentral.
GACGAACGCUGGCGGCGUGCUUAACACAUGCGAGUCGAACGGAAAGGCCCUGCUUUUGUGGGGUGCUCGAGUGGCGAACGGGUGAGUAACACGUGAGUAACCUGCCCUUGACUUUGGGAUAACUUCGGGAAACUGGGGCUAAUACCGGAUAGGAGCUCCUGCUGCAUGGUGGGGGUUGGAAAGUUUCGGCGGUUGGGGAUGGACUCGCGGCUUAUCAGCUUGUUGGUGGGGUAGUGGCUUACCAAGGCUUUGACGGGUAGCCGGCCUGAGAGGGUGACCGGACACAUUGGGACUGAGAUACGGCCCAGACGCCUACGGGAGGCAGCAGUGGGGAAUAUUGCACAAUGGGCGGAAGCCUGAUGCAGCAACGCCGCGUGCGGGAUGACGGCCUUCGGGUUGUAAACCGCUUUCGCCUGUGACGAAGCGUGAGUGACGGUAAUGGGUAAAGAAGCACCGGCUAACUACGUG